Astyanax mexicanus (Mexican tetra) is the source of this 2145-nucleotide RNA transcript. It is a transcript of the gene named RERG_RasL11_like domain-containing protein, with no coding region annotated. Lineage: Eukaryota; Metazoa; Chordata; Actinopteri; Characiformes; Acestrorhamphidae. The transcript has 9 exons. The record is from RefSeq and is a predicted model, not a curated record.
UGGAGAGAGAAGCAGCGCUGUGAGGAGAGAAGUGCAGAGACUCACCGGAGCUCAGCUGCGGAGCUACUGAAGAUGACAGACUGCGGGGCGCGGAGAAUGUCCCGGGCUAAACUGGUGGUGCUCGGCCGGGAUAACUGUGGCAAAACUGCUCUGUGUGUGAGAUUCAUCACCAAGCGUUUCAUUGGAGAGUAUGACCAUAAAAAGGAGGUUACCUACAGGUGCCGCAAAACAGUGGACAAAGAAACGAUUGACCUGGAGAUUUUGGACACAGUUAAUAAGGCCUGUGUAUCUUUUAUCAGAGGCCACUUUCCCAGUAGCCUUUAUGCAACCAUGGAGUACCUGCUGUGGAUCUGGCCAACCUGUGCUGGGGCACAAGUGAAGAUGGAGGAGUGCAUGGGGCCUGCCUCCACCUCUCUGGAGAGUUCCAUCAAAUGGGGGGACGGGUUUUUAAUCAUGUACUCAGUGACGGACCGCAGCAGUUUUGAGGCCGUUUCUCGUCUGAAGAGGCUGAUUGACCACGUUAAACAGACACUUGGAAUCCCCACAGUGAUUGUAGCAAAUAAGAGUGACAUGGAGAACGGGCGUGCUGUUCGGACAGAGGAGGGACAGGCUUUGGCCAGAGAUCUGAGGUGUAGUUUCUUUGAGGUCUCGGUGGCAGAGGGCUCCUCAGCAGUGGAGGCAGCAUUCGGGCAGCUGAUAAGAGAGGUGCGUCUGGAGUUCCAGCGGCAUCUGCUGGCCAUGGAUAAGCGUUCACGUGUGCUGCAGAUGCGCCAUGUGCUGAAGAACAAACUGACACGCAGCAAAACCAUGCAGUGGUGACCAGACUGUUCACAGCUGAUCUCUGCUUUUUCUGGACCACUGCUCUGUCUCUGUGGAUCAGAGAGAUGAUCAGUAUUCUGCUCAAGGACUGCUUGAGAACCAACUUUAAACCACCCAAGGAAAUCCAGGCACUAGCAAGGAAUACAGUGUUUUAAUUUGCAGUGGGAUGUCUGGAAUACCUUUCCCCCCCAAAGUAUAGAACUGUUUAUGGAUACAGAAGUUUACUCUCACUCUCUUGUCCACUCGUGGUGAUGAUGGUGAUGAUGAUUCCACUCACAAAAGCAGAACUUUUACCACUGGAUGUGCUGCAAAGCUAUUGGAAAGCUAACGUUUAUAGAAUCCUGAUUGAGAAGACAAGAUUAAGAAGGACAGUUGUAUCUGAUACUGAACAAGCAUACAAGAAUGAUUGCAGAUUAAUGUGGGUACACAGCUGACAUGGAAAGGCUGGCAUAAUGUCAGUUCUUACAGCUUGAAAUAUCUGGCAACCGCUGAAGCAGACUGAGACCCAGGCAAAUAAACAAUACACAAAUACAGCAGUGCUGGACUUUAUAGUUUUAAUUAGCAAAAUGGUAAAAAUUAAUAAAUACAAAUUGAUCAAAUGCUCCUAAAACAUCCACCUCCUUCAACAUGAAGUAAGACAUGUACCUGUGCAUUUAAAUAAGUUACGAGAGAAAGAACGUGGAGUCUAUGAGGGAAGCAAACAAAUCAACAUCGGGCAGCACCGAACAACCAAGACCGACGAGUAACAGGUAACGUAUAAAGUGUUUAAGUAAAUAAACCAAAAGCAGUCACAUCAUCUUUAAAACCAUUAUGAAAAAAUACUUGACACUUUUGUUUUUUUUUUUACAAGAGAACUAUGUAAAUCGCAUAUUAAACACUUUAUAAAUUGUUCAGCACAUCAGGUGUACCACUGCUAAUUUGUGUGUUAUUUCUGUGCAAUAAUCCAUAUCUGAUUGACUUCCAGUGUCCUUAUGGAUGAAAGGCCUUUGAUUGGGUUGUGUGUGAAUGAGGUAAUGGUCAAAAGGAAGGAGGAGGAUGACGCACAAUAAAAAAAAGAAAGAAAAAAGAAAAGAAGUGCCAACGGAGGACCUGACCGCUCGGCAACAUCCAACUGAACAGAGUGACGAGGGCCAAGCUGAUCAGGAAACCUUUUUUAAACUAUUUUUUUAAUCACUUGAGGGACGGUUGAAAGGACACAAACACUUAUCCUCUAGUGUAAAUAACUCAGAUGCAGACGUUCCACACUUUUGCACACUACAGAUUUAAAAACAUCCAGACACAAAUGUUCAGACCCAUAAGCAAUACCUGGAAUCUGACCCAAACCAC